CGCCGUCCUGCGUCAGGCGGAGGAUGCGGGAGCGCUUGUCGCCCGGGUCGGGCGAGCGCUCGAUCCAGCCGCGUUCGGCGACGUGGGUGACGU
Molecule: transfer RNA, 93 nt
Filed under: Streptomyces finlayi
Lineage: Bacteria; Bacillati; Actinomycetota; Actinomycetes; Kitasatosporales; Streptomycetaceae
Also listed under: 1 other name
Description: tRNA-Lys
Source: RNAcentral